AACGAACGCUGGCGGCAUGCCUAACACAUGCAAGUCGAACGCCCCGCAAGGGGAGUGGCGAGCGGGUGAGUAACGCGUGGGAACCCACCCAGCAGUUGGGGAUAACCGCGGGAAACUACGGCUAAUACCGAAUACGUCCUAUGGGAGAAAGAUUUAUCGCUGUUGGAGGGGCCCGCGUCGGAUUAGCUAGUUGGUGAGGUAACGGCUCACCAAGGCUUCGAUCCGUAGCUGGUCUGAGAGGAUGAUCAGCCACACUGGGACUUAGACACGGCCCAGACUCCUACGGGAGGCAGCAGUGGGGAAUAUUGGACAAUGGGGGCAACCCUGAUCCAGCAAUGCCGCGUGAGUGAUGAAGGCCUUAGGGUUGUAAAGCUCUUUUGCCGGGGACGAUGAUGACGGUACCCGGAGAAUAAGCCCCGGCUAACUUCGUGCCAGCCGCCGCGUAA
RNAcentral lists this ribosomal RNA (446 nucleotides) under uncultured bacterium. RNAcentral's name for it is "partial 16S ribosomal RNA". It matches the Rfam family "Bacterial small subunit ribosomal RNA", at positions 29 to 522 of the family's 1533-position model. The record is from RNAcentral.